UACGGAGGGUGCAAGCGUUAAUCGGAAUCACUGGGCGUAAAGCGCACGUAGGCUGUUAUGUAAGUCAGGGGUGAAAGCCCACGGCUCAACCGUGGAACUGCCCUUGAUACUGCACGACUUGAAUCCGGGAGAGGGUGGCGGAAUUCCAGGUGUAGGAGUGAAAUCCGUAGAUAUCUGGAGGAACAUCAGUGGCGAAGGCGGCCACCUGGACCGGUAUUGACGCUGAGGUGCGAAAGCGUGGGGAGCAAACAGG
Molecule: ribosomal RNA, 253 nt
Filed under: Desulfovibrio piger ATCC 29098
Lineage: Bacteria; Pseudomonadati; Thermodesulfobacteriota; Desulfovibrionia; Desulfovibrionales; Desulfovibrionaceae
Description: partial 16S ribosomal RNA
Rfam family: Bacterial small subunit ribosomal RNA
Source: RNAcentral